GGGUAGUCCACGCUGUAAACGAUGGGUGCUAGGUCUGGGGAGGUAAACUCUCUGGGCCGAAGCUAACGCGUUAAGCACCCCGCCUGGGGAGUACGGCCGCAAGGCUGAAACUCAAAGGAAUUGACGGGGGCCCGCACAAGCGGUGGAGCACGUGGUUUAAUUCGAUACAAAGCGAAGAACCUUACCUGGGCUUGACAUGCCAGGGUUGUACCCCGGUGGAAACACUGGGGGAGCACAGAGUUUUACUCUGUGCGCUCUGGCACAGGUGCUGCAUGGCUGUCGUCAGCUCGUGUCGUGAGAUGUUGGGUUAAGUCCCGCAACGAGCGCAACCCUCGCCCUUAGUUGCCAGCGGGUAAUGCCGGGCACUCUAAGGGGACUGCCGGGGAUAACCCGGAGGAAGGAGGGGAUGACGUCAAGUCCUCAUGGCCCUUAUGCCCAGGGCUACACACGUGCUACAAUGGGGGGUACAGAGGGGAUGCGAACCGCAAGGGGGGAGCUAAUCCCAGAAAGCCCUACCUCAGUUCGGAUCGGGGUCUG
This 537-nucleotide ribosomal RNA is filed under the name uncultured prokaryote. RNAcentral describes it as "bacterial SSU rRNA". It matches the Rfam family "Bacterial small subunit ribosomal RNA", at positions 788 to 1307 of the family's 1533-position model. The record is from RNAcentral.